This 206-nucleotide ribosomal RNA is filed under the name uncultured bacterium. RNAcentral's name for it is "partial 16S ribosomal RNA". It matches the Rfam family "Bacterial small subunit ribosomal RNA", at positions 568 to 774 of the family's 1533-position model. The record is from RNAcentral.
CGCGUAGGCGGCCUUUUUAGUCAGACGUGAAAUCCCCCGGCUUAACCUGGGAACUGCGUCUGAUACUGGAAGGCUUGAAUGCGGGAGAGGGAUGUGGAAUUCCAGGUGUAGCGGUGAAAUGCGUAGAUAUCUGGAGGAACACCGGUGGCGAAGGCGGCAUCCUGGACCGACAUUGACGCUGAGGCGCGAAAGCUAGGGAGCAAACG